GACGAACGCUGGCGGCGUGCUUAACACAUGCAAGUCGAACGGAAAGGCCCUGCUUUUGUGGGGUGCUCGAGUGGCGAACGGGUGAGUAACACGUGAGUAACCUGCCCUUGACUUUGGGAUAACUUCAGGAAACUGGGGCUAAUACCGGAUAGGAGCUCCUGCUGCAUGGUGGGGGUUGGAAAGUUUCGGCGGUUGGGGAUGGACUCGCGGCUUAUCAGCUUGUUGGUGGGGUAGUGGCUUACCAAGGCUUUGACGGGUAGCCGGCCUGAGAGGGUGACCGGCCACAUUGGGACUGCGGUACGGCCCAGACUCCUACGGGAGGCAGCAGUGGAGAAUAUUGCACAAUGGGCGGAAGCCUGAUGCAGCAACGCCGCGUGCGGGAUGACGGCCUUCGGGUUGUAAACCGCUUUCGCCUGUGACGAAGCGUGAGUGACGGUAAUGGGUAAAGAAGCACCGGCUAACUACGUG
This 468-nucleotide ribosomal RNA is filed under the name uncultured bacterium. RNAcentral describes it as "partial 16S ribosomal RNA". It matches the Rfam family "Bacterial small subunit ribosomal RNA", at positions 28 to 507 of the family's 1533-position model. The record is from RNAcentral.